RNAcentral lists this ribosomal RNA (407 nucleotides) under uncultured bacterium. Its description in RNAcentral is "partial 16S ribosomal RNA". It matches the Rfam family "Bacterial small subunit ribosomal RNA", at positions 30 to 526 of the family's 1533-position model. The record is from RNAcentral.
ACUGAACGCUGGCGGCAGGCCUAACACAUGCAAGUCGAGCGGAGCGGCGGACGGGGGAGUAAUGCCUAGGAAUCUGCCUGGUAGUGGGGGAUAACGUCCGGAAACGGGCGCUAAUACCGCAUACUAUCAGAUGAGCCUAGGUCGGAUUGGCUAGUAGGGGGGGUAAAGGCCUACCAAGGCGACGUUCCGUAACUGGUCAGAGAGGAUGAUCAGGCACCCUGGAACUGAGACACGGUCCAGACUCCUACGGGAGGCAGCGGUGGGGAAUAUUGGACAAUGGGCGAAAGCCUGAUCCAGCCAUGCCGCGUGUGUGAAGAAGGUCUUCGGAUUGUAAAGCACUUUAAGUUGGGAGGCGUUACCAACAGAAUAAGCACCGGCUAACUUCGUGCCAGCAGCCGCGGUAAUUC